UUUAGCCAUGCUAGUUGCACGAGUUCACACUCGUAGCAUAUAGCUCAGUAACACGUGGUCAAGCUACCCUGCAGACACGGACAACCUCGGGAAACUGAGGCUAAUCCGCGAUACCGAUCCCACGCUGGAAUGCCGGGAUCCACAAACGCUCCGGCGCUGCAGGAUGCGGCUGCGGCCGAUUAGGUAGACGGUGGGGUAACGGCCCACCGUGCCGAUAAUCGGUACGGGUUGUGAGAGCAAGAGCCCGGAGACGGAAUCUGAGACAAGAUUCCGGGCCCUACGGGGCGCAGCAGGCGCGAAACCUUUACACUGCACGCAAGUGCGAUAAGGGGACUCCGAGUGCGAGGGCAUAUAGUCCUCGCUUUUGAGAACCGUAAGGCGGUUCUCGAAUAAGAGCUGGGCAAGACCGGUGCCAGCCGCCGCGGUAAUACCGGCAGCUCAAGUGAUGGCCAAUCUUAUUGGGCCUAAAGCGUCCGUAGCUGGCCACGAAAGUCCGUCGGG
RNAcentral lists this ribosomal RNA (501 nucleotides) under Halogeometricum borinquense. Its description in RNAcentral is "bacterial SSU rRNA". It matches the Rfam family "Archaeal small subunit ribosomal RNA", at positions 44 to 546 of the family's 1478-position model. The record is from RNAcentral. Lineage: Archaea; Methanobacteriati; Methanobacteriota; Halobacteria; Halobacteriales; Haloferacaceae.